RNAcentral lists this ribosomal RNA (301 nucleotides) under uncultured bacterium. RNAcentral describes it as "partial 16S ribosomal RNA". It matches the Rfam family "Bacterial small subunit ribosomal RNA", at positions 509 to 808 of the family's 1533-position model. The record is from RNAcentral.
CAGUAGCACGGUAAUACGUAGGGUGCAAGCGUUAAUCGGAAUUACUGGGCGUAAAGCGUGCGCAGGCGGUUAUAUAAGACAGAUGUGAAAUCCCCGGGCUCAACCUGGGAACUGCAUUUGUGACUGUAUAGCUAGAGUACGGCAGAGGGGGAUGGAAUUCCGCGUGUAGCAGUGAAAUGCGUAGAUAUGCGGAGGAACACCGAUGGCGAAGGCAAUCCCCUGGGCCUGUACUGACGCUCAUGCACGAAAGCGUGGGGAGCAAACAGGAUUAGAUACCCCCGUAGUCCCUGUCUCUUAUACA